UACUCGAGUGGCGAACGGGUGAGUAACACGUGGGUGAUCUGCCCUGCACUUCGGGAUAAGCCUGGGAAACUGGGUCUAAUACCGGAUAGGAGCCAUUUUUAGUGUGAUGGUUGGAAAGUUUUUUCGGUGCAAGAUGAGCUCGCGGCCUAUCAGCUUGUUGGUGGGGUAAUGGCCUACCAAGGCGUCGACGGGUAGCCGGCCUGAGAGGGUGUACGGCCACAUUGGGACUGAGAUACGGCCCAG
This 243-nucleotide ribosomal RNA is filed under the name uncultured Actinomycetales bacterium. RNAcentral's name for it is "partial 16S ribosomal RNA". It matches the Rfam family "Bacterial small subunit ribosomal RNA", at positions 88 to 334 of the family's 1533-position model. The record is from RNAcentral. Lineage: Bacteria; Bacillati; Actinomycetota; Actinomycetes; Actinomycetales.